RNA transcript from Nomascus leucogenys (northern white-cheeked gibbon), 1839 nucleotides. It is a transcript of the gene named centromere protein V, with no coding region annotated. Lineage: Eukaryota; Metazoa; Chordata; Mammalia; Primates; Hylobatidae. The record is from RefSeq and is a predicted model, not a curated record. The transcript is spliced from 3 exons.
CUCGUUUUUGGAGACGAAGUUACCCUAGGCUGCCCGCUCGGAUGAGCCUGCGAAUUCAGGCCCGACCCAGGCCCCUCCAGGUCGGGAAGGUACGAAGAGCCCGCUGGAUUCACACAGGGCAGGAGCGCCUUCGCAGGUGCGUGUGGAUUCUGGGUAUCGCGAGCGUAGGCCCCGGCGCAGCCCCUCUGGGCCUGCGGGACCGAACAGGCAGGUGCGUCCCAGCGGCCGGGCGGGCCGGGUCUCCCUCCUGCGGGCAGGCGCCGGGCUGCGGGGCGCGGCUGCCGGAGCGGGGCAGCCGGGCGCAGCGCCCCCUGGGCCUGAAGACUGGCGGGCGGCGGGGGCGCGCGCAGGCCGGCGGGGGCGCGCCGCGCUGCGAGGCCUGCGCGCCAGGCUGCGGGAGCCAUGCGGCGAUCGAGGAGCUCUGCGGCCGCCAAGCUGCGCGAGCAGAAGCGGUCCGGGGCCUCCGGGGCCUCCGCGGCCGCUACCUCGGCCCCCGGCGCUACCCGCACACGGCGCUCCGCGAGCCAGGCCGGGAGCAAGAGCCAGGCGGCGCAGAAGCCGCCGUCGGAGAAGCCGCGGCUGAGGCGCUCGUCGCCGCGGGCCCAGGAGGAGGGCCCGGGGGAGCCGCCGCCGCCGGAGCUGGCGUUGCUCCCGUCACCGCCGCCGCCGACUCCCGCGACCCCGACGUCCUCGGCGUCCAACCUGGACCUGGGCGAGCAGCGGGAGCGCUGGGAGACGUUCCAGAAGCGGCAGAAGCUCACCUCCGAGGGCGCCGCCAAGCUCCUGCUAGACACCUUUGAAUACCAGGGCCUGGUGAAGCACACAGGAGGCUGCCACUGUGGAGCAGUUCGUUUUGAAGUUUGGGCCUCAGCAGACUUGCAUAUAUUUGACUGCAAGUACCGGAAUUAUAUAUGAAUAAUAAACACAUACGAUGGAAUUACUCAAAUGGAGAACUGACCAGGCUACUAACAAUAGAGUCCAGAUUGGAAAAGAAGCACUGUGGAAUAACUUGUGAGAGGAUUCUAUGCUAAAUUAGAACUUUUUCAAAGGUGGCCUGAAAAGAGGGGACUUCAGUUUAAUUCCAGAGAUGGUAAUUCUGGGGACGUGUUUUACUUGGAGCUGGACUUUUUGUGACGUGGUGAUGAAGAAAGAGGGAAACCUAAACUUCCUUGUCCAUUUUUGGUGUGGAUGUCUCAGAGACAUCAGGUUGUAGCAGUGUCUGAAAUUUGUUUUCUAAGUGUCUCUGAAGUCCAGCGCUUCUCUUCACUGUAAAGAACUGGGGGCUGGGCAGUACAGACCUGUCUGUUCGUCCUGUGUUCUGAGCAUUGCAGAGCCUUUGACUGCUGACUUGGGACCCCCCGUGGGCUCUGCUGUACCUGCAAACCAGAGGCCCUGCUAUCCAGGCCUUUGCCCCGUUCCUCGGCCCUGGAUGGUGCUGAAAGGGGCAUCAUCUGUGGGGUUGGCUGGCUCUGAUAGCUGGGCCGCUCAGGCAUAGAGGACGAAGGUGGCUGCUUACAAUCUGGAAUUUGCUCUGUCUUUCUGUAGCUGCAGCAUUUGCAAGAAGAAGCAGAAUAGACACUUCAUUGUUCCAGCUUCUCGCUUCAAGCUCCUGAAGGUCAGUGCUUAAGAGCAGGGUCAAGGAGUGCAGAACCCAUUGGUGAGAUUUACAGGACUCCCCAACCAACCCUUAGCAUGCCAUCUGUAGCAUGGGAGGGUCCUGGAGCAUAGCAGGGCCUCUCACAGGCUUUGGUUUCAGGUUGACAUUUAAAAGGUGGGCCGGGCACAGUGGCUCAUGCCUGUAAUCCCAGCACUUUGGAAGGCCAAGAUGGGUGGAUCACC